GCCAGCCUGGCAUAGUGGUUUGAGCAUUAGACUAUGACUUUGGAGGCCAGGGUUCAAAUUCCUGCUUGGCC
Molecule: non-coding RNA, 71 nt
Organism: Phrynosoma platyrhinos (Desert horned lizard)
Lineage: Eukaryota; Metazoa; Chordata; Lepidosauria; Squamata; Phrynosomatidae
Source: the annotation of a GenBank genome assembly